Molecule: transfer RNA, 74 nt
Organism: Saccharibacillus sacchari DSM 19268
Lineage: Bacteria; Bacillati; Bacillota; Bacilli; Caryophanales; Paenibacillaceae
Rfam family: tRNA
About the family: Transfer RNA (tRNA) molecules are approximately 80 nucleotides in length. Their secondary structure includes four short double-helical elements and three loops (D, anti-codon, and T loops). Further hydrogen bonds mediate the characteristic L-shaped molecular structure. tRNAs have two regions of fundamental functional importance: the anti-codon, which is responsible for specific mRNA codon recognition, and the 3' end, to which the tRNAs corresponding amino acid is attached (by aminoacyl-tRNA synthetases). tRNAs cope with the degeneracy of the genetic code in two manners: having more than one tRNA (with a specific anti-codon) for a particular amino acid; and 'wobble' base-pairing, i.e. permitting non-standard base-pairing at the 3rd anti-codon position.
Source: Rfam
CGCGGGGUGGAGCAGCUCGGUAGCUCGUCGGGCUCAUAACCCGAAGGUCGCAGGUUCAAAUCCUGCCCCCGCAA